RNAcentral lists this ribosomal RNA (497 nucleotides) under uncultured bacterium. RNAcentral's name for it is "partial 16S ribosomal RNA". It matches the Rfam family "Bacterial small subunit ribosomal RNA", at positions 28 to 507 of the family's 1533-position model. The record is from RNAcentral.
GAUGAACGCUGGCGGCGUGCCUAAUACAUGCCAGUCGAGCGAACGGACGAGAAGCUUGCUUCUCUGAUGUUAGCGGCGGACGGGUGAGUAACACGUGGAUAACCUACCUAUAAGACUGGGAUAACUUCGGGAAACCGGAGCUAAUACCGGAUAAUAUUUUGAACCGCAUGGUUCAAAAGUGAAAGACGGUCUUGCUGUCACUUAUAGAUGGAUCCGCGCUGCAUUAGCUAGUUGGUAAGGUAACGGCUUACCAAGGCAACGAUGCAUAGCCGACCUGAGAGGGAGGUCGGCCACACUGGAACUGAGACACGGUCCAGACUCCUACGGGAGGCAGCAGUAGGGAAUCUUCCGCAAUGGGCGAAAGCCUGACGGAGCAACGCCGCGUGAGUGAUGAAGGUCUUCGGAUCGUAAAACUCUGUUAUUAGGGAAGAACAUAUGUGUAAGUAACCGUGCACAUCUUGACGGUACCUAAUCAGAAAGCCACGGCUAACUACGUG